RNAcentral lists this ribosomal RNA (156 nucleotides) under Penicillium sp. RNAcentral's name for it is "5.8S ribosomal RNA". It matches the Rfam family "5.8S ribosomal RNA". From Rfam's summary of the family: 5.8S ribosomal RNA (5.8S rRNA) is a component of the large subunit of the eukaryotic ribosome. Lineage: Eukaryota; Fungi; Ascomycota; Eurotiomycetes; Eurotiales; Aspergillaceae. The record is from RNAcentral.
AAACUUUCAACAACGGAUCUCUUGGUUCCGGCAUCGAUGAAGAACGCAGCGAACUGCGAUACGUAAUGUGAAUUGCAAAUUCAGUGAAUCAUCGAGUCUUUGAACGCACAUUGCGCCCCCUGGUAUUCCGGGGGGCAUGCCUGUCCGAGCGUCAUU